RNAcentral lists this long non-coding RNA (1032 nucleotides) under Volvox carteri. Its description in RNAcentral is "long non-coding RNA (VCAR_LNC003242)". Lineage: Eukaryota; Viridiplantae; Chlorophyta; Chlorophyceae; Chlamydomonadales; Volvocaceae. The record is from RNAcentral.
AGUAACAGCACACAGGCCAACAGCAGCUAUCAUUCCCGCGGCAGCUGCGAGCGCGACGCGCAUAACGACCUGGAGGAAGGCCAUCUCAAUCCGCUGCAUGUAGGUAGGUAGGUGCGUAGGUAGGCAGGUAGUAGGUAGGUAGAUAGGUAGGUAGGUAGGUAGGUGGGUGAGAGGAAGGCAGAAUGCUCUGUUAUCGUGAAUUAAGCUAAUUAAGCUGUUAGCAGUGCGUUUAAGGAAUUUUCGAGGCCCCGGGCGUGAAGCGCCAUUCGGGGGGCCGAGCCCCCCGGGUUCACUGCUGUCAGUCAGUCAGUCAGUCAGUGGCUUACAUAUCUCGCCCCGCAAAAAAAAGCGUUUGAAUGCUAUAUCCAUUCUAUAUCGAAAUGCCAAAGGAGAGGUUCUAGAUAAAUCGGAGCGCGAAGAUAGCUUUCCUGUAAGUGGCUGCACCGGGGCCGAGCCCCUUUUCGGCUUUGGAAAGCCGCCCCCCUAGUUAAUGAUAAUAAUAAUAAAUAAUAAUAGUAAGUGUGUUAAUGAUAAUAUUAAUAAAUAAUAGUAAUAAGUGUGUUAAGGGGCAGGGUUGACGAGACUAUUAUUUUCCCGCUUCCCCUGCUGGCCAUUGCACCUCCCACCCGCAACCAUGUGCAACCAUGUGCAUAAGGGCUUGCUUUGGGCCUUUUUUGCGAUGUUCAUGUGGGUUUAUGUAUGUGGCAUACCUGCUGCCUUUCUUUCUGCAGCUCCAACAAGUUGUUUGUUAACUUGCGUUGCUUAUCACGUGUCCAAAGCGAUCAGAUAGGCGGCUGCAGUGGUGUUGAAUAGGUUGGCUCAGCAGGCAUACAUGACAGCACAAGCAAGGUAACGCAAUAAGCUACGAAGCUAACAAGAUUAUUAGCGUAGCAUGUAUCUUUGGCUGGUUGAACUUUGCCUUGCCAAGGUGCCUAAAUAGCUGAAUAUAUAGUCACUGAGAAGCAGUGCCUCGUUGAAGGCACAAUGCGCGUGCCUUAUCUCCGUGAUUCCCUAAACUUUCUGUUGUCUACG